ACAGCUUUCAUUGUGUCCCAUAAGUUUGGGUAUGUUGUACCUUCAUUUUCAUUAAAUUCUAAGAAGUCUUUAAUUUCUUUCUUUAUUUCUUCCUUGACCAGGUUAUCAUUGAGUAGAGCAUUGUUCAACUUCCUUGUAUAUGUGGGCGUUCUUCCCUUAUUGUUGUUGGAGACCAGCUUUAGGCCAUGGUGGUCUGAUAGGACGCAUGGGAUUAUUUCUAUCUUUCUGUAUCUUUGAGGCCUGUUUUAUGACCAAUUAUAUGGUCAAUU
Molecule: long non-coding RNA, 269 nt
Filed under: Rattus norvegicus (Norway rat)
Lineage: Eukaryota; Metazoa; Chordata; Mammalia; Rodentia; Muridae
Description: long non-coding RNA NONRATT012535
Source: RNAcentral